AUGCGGCCGGAAAAGGCGGGUUGUAAUCGUCUUGCUGUUAAUUCUGACAAUAUGAAGGUGAUUGAAAUAAUAAAAAAUGGAGGACAUUCGGUGAAAGCGGCGAUGGCAGGGUUCGAUGAUUGCUAUUUCAUAGCUUGUGAUUUUCCGCUUGUUAGAUUUGAACAUUGUACUAGGGAAGCAAAUAAGAUGUCUCAUGAAAUUGCUAGGCUAGUGAAAUUUUCAGUUACUGCUGACUGGUUUGAGGAGCCUGUGAGGGACAUUGUACAUUUACUUAUUGACGAUGUAACAAUUAUUUCUAAUAAAUAA
Molecule: ribosomal RNA, 306 nt
Filed under: Triticum aestivum (bread wheat)
Lineage: Eukaryota; Viridiplantae; Streptophyta; Magnoliopsida; Poales; Poaceae
Description: partial small subunit ribosomal RNA
Source: RNAcentral